AACGAACGCUGGCGGCAGGCCUAACACAUGCAAGUCGAACGCCCUAGCAAUAGGGAGUGGCAGACGGGUGAGUAACACGUGGGAACCUUCCCUAUAGUACGGAAUAGCCCAGGGAAACUUGGAGUAAUACCGUAUAAGCCCGAGAGGGGAAAGAUUUAUCGCUAUAGGAUGGGCCCGCGUCGGAUUAGCUAGUUGGUGAGGUAAUGGCUCACCAAGGCGACGAUCCGUAGCUGGUUUGAGAGAACGACCAGCCACACUGGGACUGAGACACGGCCCAGACUCCUACGGGAGGCAGCAGUGGGGAAUAUUGGACAAUGGGCGAAAGACCUGAUCCAGCCAUGCCGCGUGAGUGAUGAAGGCCUUAGGGUUGUAAAGCUCUUUUGUCGGGGACGAUAAUGACGGUACCCGAAGAAUAAAGCUCCGGCUAACUUCGUG
RNAcentral lists this ribosomal RNA (435 nucleotides) under uncultured bacterium. Its description in RNAcentral is "bacterial SSU rRNA". It matches the Rfam family "Bacterial small subunit ribosomal RNA", at positions 29 to 507 of the family's 1533-position model. The record is from RNAcentral.